Molecule: ribosomal RNA, 671 nt
Filed under: Tricholoma mesoamericanum
Lineage: Eukaryota; Fungi; Basidiomycota; Agaricomycetes; Agaricales; Tricholomataceae
Description: partial small subunit ribosomal RNA
Rfam family: Bacterial small subunit ribosomal RNA
Source: RNAcentral
AGCUAACUGAAAUCAUUAUGAGUCAUUAAUUUGGUGAUUAUGAUAACAUAAGGGAAAAAAAUGAUAUUACCUUAUUAUUAGUGUUGUCCAAAACUGGUGCCAGAAGACUCGGUAAGACCAGAGACGCAAACGUUAGUCAUCUUAAUCAGGCGUAAAGGGUGUGUAGGCUGCUUUAAAAGUUUAAAUCUUUUUAAUAGCUCUUUUGCCGUUGUCCUGCCAUUAUUUAUUUUAUUUAUAAAAUAAUAAACAAUAAUGAAUAUAAAGGCAGUACAUUUUUUAAUUUUAUUAAUAUUAAUUUAAUUUAAUAAUUAUAAAGGGGACAAAAAAGAUAUCCCGGUUUAAGUAAAAAGAAUAAAAUGAAUUAAAGCUAGAAUCAAAUUGAGGAUAAACCAAAUAAUACUUAGAGUAGGGCCGAUAUCCGCAGAUACUAAGGGGAAUACUAAAGGUGAAAGCUUUUUAUCUACUAUUGAUUGACGCUGAGAAACGAAGGUGAGAACAGGAAAUAGGAUUUGAUACCCAGAUACCUCUCACUGUCAACGAUGAAUGGUGGUUGUUAGUUUUAAUAAAAACUGGUAACGAUGUUAACACGAUAACCAUUCCGCCUUGCGAGUACGGUUGCAAAACUGAAACCAAAAAAAUUAGUCGGUUUCGAAGCAAACGAAGUGAAGCAU